RNAcentral lists this ribosomal RNA (254 nucleotides) under uncultured bacterium. RNAcentral describes it as "partial 16S ribosomal RNA". It matches the Rfam family "Bacterial small subunit ribosomal RNA", at positions 524 to 776 of the family's 1533-position model. The record is from RNAcentral.
UACGUAGGGUGCAAGCGUUGUCCGGAAUUAUUGGGCGUAAAGAGCUCGUAGGCGGCUCAGUUAGUCGGGUGUGAAACCCCCGGGCUCAACCCGGGGACGCCACCCGAUACUGCUGUGGCUAGAGUCCGGUAGGGGAGCGUGGAAUUCCUGGUGUAGCGGUGAAAUGCGCAGAUAUCAGGAGGAACACCAGUGGCGAAGGCGGCUCACUGGCCCGAUACUGACGCUGAGGCACGAAAGCGUGGGGAGCAAACAGG